Molecule: long non-coding RNA, 151 nt
Organism: Neodiprion virginianus
Lineage: Eukaryota; Metazoa; Arthropoda; Insecta; Hymenoptera; Diprionidae
Exons: 3
Source: RefSeq, a predicted model, not a curated record
CAUGUCUUUAUGGGGUUAUAUUAUAAAGGAUAGUUGUUAUGUACAGAGAUAAUAUCACAUACAUUAGAAUUCGGAAGAAUGUCGCUAGAUUUAUGCUUUUUUUUUAGCUACAGCUGCUUACAAAGCCUUAAAUAUCGAGAUCGGAAGAGCA